AACGAACGCUGGCGGCAGGCCUAACACAUGCAAGUCGAGCGAGGACUUCGGUCCUAGCGGCGGACGGGUGAGUAACGCGUGGGAACGUGCCCUUUGCUUCGGAAUAGCCCUGGGAAACUGGGAGUAAUACCGGAUGAGCCCUUUGGGGGAAAGAUUUAUCGGCGAAGGAUCGGCCCGCGUUGGAUUAGGUAGUUGGUGGGGUAAUGGCCUACCAAGCCGACGAUCCAUAGCUGGUUUGAGAGGAUGAUCAGCCACACUGGGACUGAGACACGGCCCAGACUACUACGGGAGGGAGCAGUGGGGAAUCUUAGAAAAUGGGGGAAAACCUGAUCUAGCCAGGCCGGGUGAGCGAUGAAGGCCUUAGGGUUGUAAAGCUCUUUCAGCUGGGAAGAUAAUGACGGUACCAGAAGAAGAAGCCCCGGCUAACUCCGUG
RNAcentral lists this ribosomal RNA (433 nucleotides) under uncultured bacterium. Its description in RNAcentral is "partial 16S ribosomal RNA". It matches the Rfam family "Bacterial small subunit ribosomal RNA", at positions 29 to 507 of the family's 1533-position model. The record is from RNAcentral.